Molecule: ribosomal RNA, 468 nt
Filed under: uncultured bacterium
Lineage: Bacteria
Description: partial 16S ribosomal RNA
Rfam family: Bacterial small subunit ribosomal RNA
Source: RNAcentral
GACGAACGCUGGCGGCGUGCUUAACACAUGCAAGUCGAACGGAAAGGCCCUGCUUUUGUGGGGUGCUCGAGUGGCGAACGGGUGAGUAACACGUGAGUAACCUGCCCUUGACUUUGGGAUAACUUCAGGAAACUGGGGCUAAUACCGGAUAGGAGCUCCUGCUGCAUGGUGGGGGUUGGAAAGUUUCGGCGGUUGGGGAUGGACUCGCGGCUUAUCAGCUUGUUGGUGGGGUAGUGGCUUACCAAGGCUUUGACGGGUAGCCGGCCUGAGAGGGUGACCGGCCACAUUGGGACUGAGAUACGGCCCAGACUCCUACGGGAGGCAGCAGUGGGGAAUAUUGCACAAUGGGCGGAAGCCUGAUGCAGCAACGCCGCGUGCGGGAUGACGGCCUUCGGGUUGUAAACCGCUUUCGCCUGUGACGAAGCGUGAGUGACGGUAACGGGCAAAGAAGCACCGGCUAACUACGUG